ACGGUCUUCGGAUGCCAGAAACAGACAAGGGAUUUGUAAAUAGCAAUGACAGGCCUAAAACAAAGACGCUCGAGACUGUAAAUAAUAGAGAGAGCUUUAAGAUGGAGGCUCAACACAAGUUUGUAAAUAAUAACAAAGAUGGCCUGAACGUGGAGAAUCAAUUAGAAGAUGCGGAUGAUGAGUUUGAUUAGAGGUGUGCAGAAAUUCUUUUAUUCUCCAGGGAGGUUAAUUAACAGUGUCAUGGGUGGAAAUUGUAAAGAGUGAGGCAUAGGUGGGGGUUUGACCGGAAACUGAAAUUAUGGGAUACUAAGUUGCUGGGGUUUUCAUGUUCUGUUGACUAUGUAAAUAACAGACUUAACAGACUUCAGAAUAUGUUCCGAAUAAUCAGUUGUAUUAUGUAAAUAAUAGCAUGACUUUAUAAA
Long non-coding RNA from Vitis riparia (riverbank grape), 422 nucleotides. RefSeq lists it as uncharacterized. The transcript is spliced from 2 exons. The record is from RefSeq and is a predicted model, not a curated record. NCBI's taxonomy places the organism in Eukaryota, Viridiplantae, Streptophyta, Magnoliopsida, Vitales, Vitaceae.